Parasteatoda tepidariorum (common house spider) is the source of this 861-nucleotide long non-coding RNA. RefSeq lists it as uncharacterized. The record is from RefSeq and is a predicted model, not a curated record. Lineage: Eukaryota; Metazoa; Arthropoda; Arachnida; Araneae; Theridiidae.
UGUUUGUUCGUUAGGCAAUAAAAGUUUUAUUCUUUAACUUACCAGAAAUAAGCAACCGGAGUUAGUUUUCGUUUUUUGCUUGCGUUUUGUGUCGGAAAAAAAAUGAUUUUUGUUUGAUUCUUCCAAUUUUCAUAGUGAUUAAAAGUCACCUUAUCAAGAAUCUUUGGGCUGUUCAUUAGAAGCAUGUGGUGGACUAACAAUACAGAUCAUGAAAUCCACAACUAACCAUUAAAAUUAACUUUCUCUAUUACAUUAGAUCUGGAUGUCUGCCAAUCUUGAAUACUCUAUCUAAAAUUGAGGAUCUUCUUAGUAGUUUCUCUGGAUUUUCUUGAUUUUGAGUAGAAUUUUUUUUUUAAUAUUAAGAUAUCUCAGUCAAGAAUGUUUGGAUUUCGCAUUAAAUGUGUGUAGAAGAUUAGUCAUUGCCAUCAUCAAAUCCAAAAGAAACCAGCUCAUCUCUUGCACCACAUAAGACACUUGCUACAGUUACAAUGUUUAGUCAGAAGCGAAGAUUUUUUUAAUUGCAAUUUCAGACAUUGAUGCAUUUUAUGUAUAAUUUUAUUCAUAUUUUGGAAAAUUGUUCUCUGAAAUUAUUUUAAUGUUAACUUGAGAGUGUUAAAUAAAAAACAAAAGUAUGGUCCUUUUUUGGGUGAGAAAUGAUUGAAAAACCUGGACACAUUCAGAGAGUUCUGAAUUUUGCUAAAUUCUUCCAUAGUAAAUCUCAGUUUGUUACAUAUUUUAAAGAAAUUCCUAGAAGUUAAGAAUACUUCAUAAACACAUUAUAAAAAUAUAGUCAAUUUUGUUUUUCUAUUCAUUGAUCUAGUUUUUUUUAUAUUUAGGAUGGUAAACUGUAUUUUUAAAAUA